Molecule: ribosomal RNA, 255 nt
Filed under: uncultured bacterium
Lineage: Bacteria
Description: partial 16S ribosomal RNA
Rfam family: Bacterial small subunit ribosomal RNA
Source: RNAcentral
UACGUAGGGUGCAAGCGUUAAUCGGAAUUAUUGGGCGUAAAGGAUGCGUAGAUGGUGUAGUAAGUUAUCGGUGGUAAAUCGAGGCUCAGCCUCGUGGAAGUCGGUAAUACUGCUAUGCUAGAGGAUAGGAGAGGUUAACGGAACUCCCUGUGGAGCGGUGAAAUGCGUAGAUAUAGGGAAGAACACCAAUAAGGCGAAGGCAGUUAACUAUUCUAUUCCUGACAUUGAGGCAUGAAAGCGUGGGGAGCAAAACGG